UACGGAGGGUGCAAGCGUUAUCCGGAUUUACUGGGUUUAAAGGGUGCGCAGGCGGAUAUGUAAGUCAGUGGUGAAAUCUCUAGGCUUAACCUGGAAAUUGCCGUUGAUACUAUAUAUCUUGAAUGUUGUGGAGGUAAGCAGAAUAUGUCAUGUAGCGGUGAAAUGCUUAGAUAUGACAUAGAAUACCUAUUGCGAAGGCAGCUUACUACGCAGAUAUUGACGCUCAUGCACGAAAGCGUGGGGAUCAAACAGG
RNAcentral lists this ribosomal RNA (253 nucleotides) under uncultured bacterium. RNAcentral's name for it is "partial 16S ribosomal RNA". It matches the Rfam family "Bacterial small subunit ribosomal RNA", at positions 524 to 776 of the family's 1533-position model. The record is from RNAcentral.